Anguilla rostrata (American eel) is the source of this 4116-nucleotide long non-coding RNA. RefSeq lists it as uncharacterized. NCBI's taxonomy places the organism in Eukaryota, Metazoa, Chordata, Actinopteri, Anguilliformes, Anguillidae. The record is from RefSeq and is a predicted model, not a curated record. The transcript has 4 exons.
AUUUACAUUAUUUUUGGCGGUAACUGAAUAUAUAUGGAAUAUCAAGCCCCUGCCAUAGACUGUAUAAAAAUCAUAGGCUGCAUAAAAGUACACGACACGGCAGCCAUUUUGUGCCAGAACGCUCAUCACACAUCAAAGUUUUCAAGGGGCUGAUAGGAGAUAUGGGAGAAUCCUCGGGUUUUCAAACAUGCAUCAACUUCUCUAGCUCAAUCUGAACUGCACCUCCCAUUGUGCUCUGUGAUAUGUAAUAGACGCGCUAACUUUUGAAUGAGACAAACGGGGGCGAUGUUGGUGUUCUACAAAUAGUUGGUGUUCUGUCUUCGUUCAAGCUAUUGAAAAGGAACACUGGCGCUUAUGCAUGCUACAAUGAGGAAACAGGAUCAAGCUCUCCUCUACCCCCUCUGUUGAAAAGGAACACUGGCGCUUAUGCAUGCUACAAUGAGGAAACAGGAUCAAGCUCUCCUCUACCCCCUGUCAGUGAACAUGUAUAAGAGUAUGGGGUACAUUCCCCAACCCCGUACAGGGUACACCCACUGCCCUCAGAUGCACUGUGAUAAGGCACACUUCAGAAAUGCAGAGACUCACAACAUGUUCUGCAUACAUGCAUCGCACAUCUUGAUAUAGGCCAUCUCUAAGAACAGUGUGUUCUGUGUGAAAGUGAAUGGUGGGACAUGGGUAAAAUGAGGGAGCGUUUGAUGACAUUUCAUUUGAAUGUUUACUCACACUGAUUAGUGUUAAUUGAUGUUUUUUUCCUUGUUUAAUAUUAUUAAUUCAAUGAUUUGUUUUUUUUACGCUCACAAGAAAUGGAAGACACAAGAAGUCAAUGUCUCAAUCCAUUCAGAGUCUACAUGGCUGUAUCAGUGAAUUUGUGAUAUACGUUUUCUGCUGGUGAAAGCAUGCUCAUAGUCAAACCACUUUUAGAUACUGUGUGUAUAUUUACCUUCUAUUUCCUGAAUUGAUAUUUUGCAAAUUUCUUUAGAAAAGUACCUCCUGAGUCUCUGCAUUGUGUUUGUGUUCCACCACCAAGGUGCUUCAUUUACUAUUUCAGGAGAGGCCAUUUCCGAUUUUCCCGCUAAUUUCACUUAAGAGAAAGAGAGAAUCCAUUAUUUAUGGCCAUUCCGGUGAAAGUGUUCUUUGUUCCAAGCGAAGAUGUGAUGAUGUCAGAGGUCAGCGGCGCCACGGCAGGCAAUCGAGACUGAUGGAGACCUGCAGGACGGUUUUUCCGUUGAAUGCGGGCGCUGAGCGGAAGAGGACACGGGAUACGCGGCUUUAUCGCUCUGCGGGUCGGCACUGCAGAGCAGAACUGCCCGCGUCUCCAGAACCCGCCAGCGCUCGCGGGCUGAAAUUAUUGCGUUGCGCUGCAUGACAUUAUUUAUUUACACUGCCAGUUUGGCGGCGGCCCUCAGUCAUUACAACUUAAACAGUUUGUGCAUGAAUACGGGUCGAAUGAUUUAAUCAAUGAUUUAAAGCUGUAGGUUAACCUCCGCGUCCGUGGGCGGGGCCGGAGUGCCCUCUCUGCUCUGCAUGAAUCUCAGUUUAAAAGCCCAGGCUUUCACUCGCGUAACACGGGCUGGCGCAGGACGAGAGCGGAGCUGCUCUUUGUGCUGUUUUUAGUAAAAGGAGAGCUGAGUCUGAGGGUGACUCUCCUCUCCUCGUUUGUAAAUUCAAAAACAGCCAGACACCAUCACUCUGCAGUGGCACCCUACCGAUUAUCAAAAUCGAAUGCAAAUUCAGAUAAGCUUCCCUGGCAAGACAAUGAUCCCAUCAUUUAAGGGCACUGGUCUUUGUCCAUGAGCCAGAAUACUAUUAGCUUAAUACGAUGUUGAUUUAUUUCAGUUGUCUGCAUAAACGUCUGUUGUUCAAGGCAAGUGGGAAGAAAAGAAAUAUGCUUCUGUACUGUUCUGGAAUUAUUGGCAGAGGUGGAUCCACGAAGAGCUGCUUGAUUAGUAUAACUGGUUUAAUGGCCUUAAUUGGUGAAAUGGAUUUAAUUUCUUUCUCCAUAAUUGCUGUACGCUUUUAACCCUUUCCUGCAAAGUGACUCUGCACCUCGGCAGGUCUGCCCCUUUGGCUCUUUCUGCGUGUUUGUGCAGGACGACCCGCUGUAGACCGCCACGGGACCGCCAUGGGACCGCCUGCCAAGCCUAUUAUAACGUUUGGCUCAUUUCCUGUGGCAUCCUGUCGUGGAUUGCAUUUACUGUGCUUUAUGCCUGGGGUGCGUUUUAGUUAGGGAAUGGAGAGCAUGCAUUUGGAUCCUCUAUUCAUUUUGAAUCCAUAAAUAUCGACUUAUCAGAUUUCUCAUAGAAUAUCAGAAAGGUUCGUUGAACUUUUUUUUUUUUUUUACUUCAGUAACAGAAGCUGUGGUUUGUCCGUGGCUCACUCUUGGAUGAAAGGCUCAAGUCAUUUGCUGAAAGUUGAAAAGUAGGAUGAAGGAGCUCCAGAAUUUAGCACAGCGUUUUCCUUCCUUUGAAACCAAAGGGAAGAGGGUUAAAGGGUUUGUUCAGUGUUUAUGUCGUCACACAGCAAAUGUGGUCCUAUCUUUAAUAUUUUAAAUAAAAGUGCAUGAACAUCUCCAAUCUCACCAGUUCAAGAUUUUCUCACUCAGUAUCAUAGACAGUCUCAGGUCAAGUUCUCAUAAACACACAUGCAGCAUGCACACAGAGACAAACACACACACACACACACACACAUACAUGCACAUGCACACACACACUACAUGGCCAAAAGUAUGUGGACACCUGAACAUCAUCCCCAUAUGUGCUUGUUGAAAAUCUAAUUCCAAAACCAUGGGCGUUAAUAUGGAUAGUUGGUCCCCCCUUUGCUGCUAUAACAGCCUCCACUAUUCUGGAAGGCUUUCCACUAGAUUUUGGAACAUGGUUUCAGGGAUUUCCUUCAGUUCAGCCACACGAACAUUCGUGAGGUCUUGCACAGAUGUUGGGCGAUGCGUUGGGCCUGGCUCGCAGUUGGCGUUUCAAUUGACCCCAAAGUGCUUCGAUGGGGUAGAGGCCAGGGCUUUGUGCAGGCCAGUCAUGUUCUUCCACACCAACUCAUGAAUCCAUUUAUUUAUGGACCUUGCUUUGUGCACAGUUGCAUUAAUAGGAAACAGGAAAGGACAAACUGUUGCCACAAUGUUGGAAGCACAAAAUGCUUUAGAAUGUCAUUGUAUGCUGUGGCAUUUUAGAUUUCCCCUUGCUGGAACUAAGGGGCCUAGACCAAACCAUGAAAAGAAGCCCCAGACCAUUAUUCCUCCUUCAUCAAACUUUACAGUUGGCACUAUGCAUUUGGGUAGGUAGCGUUCUCCUGGCUUUCACCAAACCCAGAUUCGUCCGUCAGACUGCCAGAUAGUGUAGCGCGAUUCAUCGCUCCAGAGAACGUUUCCACUGCUCCCCAGAGUCCAAUGUUGAUGUGCUUUGCACCACUCCACUCGACGCUUGGCGUGGCACAUGAUGAUCUAUGGCUUGUGUGCGGCUGCUCGGCCAUGGAAACCCAUUUCUUGAAGCUCUCAAUGAACAGUUCUUGUGCUGAUGUUGCUACCAAAGGCAGUCUGGAACCCCGUAGUGAGUGUUGCAACCGAGGCCAGGCGAUCUUUGCGGGCUACUCGCUUCAGCACUCUGCAGUCCUGUUCUGUGAGCUUGUGUGGCCUACCGUUUCCUGCUGAACUGUGGUUGCUCCUAGACAUUUACACUUCAUAAUAAGAGCACUUACAGUGACCGGAGCAGAAAUUUGACAAACUGAUUUGUUGGAAGGGUGGCAAUCCUAUGACAGUGCCACGUUGAAAGUCACUAAGCUCUUCAGUACGACCUGUUCUAUUACCAAUGUUUGUCUAGUAUGGCUGCAUGUUUGCUUUUAUGUGCCUGUUAGUAGUGGGUGUGGCUGAAGUAGCCAAACCCACUAAUUAGAAGGGGUGUCCUCAUACUUUUGGCCAUGUGGUAUACAUAUAUGCACACACACACACACACACACACACACCAUGCAUAGAAGAGAGGUGCUUAGCAGAGACUGUGCAUGGUGGGGGUCAGUGAUAGGAUGAAUGUGUUCUGAAUAGAGAUGUUCUGCUUUACCCCACUGCUGUUUGACCUGCUGUUUUACAUUUGCCUUUAACCUUUUAAAUAAGAUACC